Molecule: ribosomal RNA, 477 nt
Filed under: uncultured bacterium
Lineage: Bacteria
Description: bacterial SSU rRNA
Rfam family: Bacterial small subunit ribosomal RNA
Source: RNAcentral
UUCGCAAUGCCCGAAAGGGUGACGAAGCGACGCCGCGUGCGGGAGGAAGGCCUUCGGGUUGUAAACCGCUGUCGGGAGUUAAGAAAUGCAAGGAUGUUAAUAGCGUUCUUGCUUGACUAAGGCUCCGGAGGAAGCCACGGCUAACUCUGUGCCAGCAGCCGCGGUAAUACAGAGGCGGCAAGCGUUGUUCGGAAUUAUUGGGCGUAAAGAGCACGUAGGCGGCUAUGUAAGUCGGUUGUGAAAGCCUUCCGCUCAACGGAAGAACAGCAUCCGAUACUACAUGGCUUGAGUGCGGGAGGGGAGAGUGGAACUUCUGGUGGAGCGGUGAAAUGCGUAGAUAUCAGAAGGAACGCUGGCGGCGAAAGCGGCUCUCUGGCCCAUAACUGACGCUGAGCGUGCGAAAGCUAGGGGAGCAAACGGGAUUAGAUACCCCGGUAGUCCUAGCCGUAAACGAUGGGCACUAAGUAGAGGGGUUUU